UACCUGCAGCUCAAGUGGUGAUCGUUAUUAUUGGGCCUAAAACGUUCGUAGCCGGUUUAAUAGAUGCCUGGGUAAAUCGUGCCGCUCAACGGUACGAAUUCCGGGUAGACUGUUAAACUUGAGACCGGGAGAGGCUAGAGGUACUCCUGGGGUAGGGGUGAAAUUCUGUAAUCCUAGGGGGACCACCAGUGGCGAAGGCGUCUAGCUAGAACGGGUUUGACUGUGAGGGACGAAGCCCUGGGGCGCAAACCGGAUUAGAUACCCGGGUAGUCCAGGGUGUAAACGCUGCUUGCUUGAUGUUAGUCGGGCUCCGAGCCCGAUUAGUGUCGGAGAGAAGUUGUUAAGCAAGCUGCCUGGGAAGUACGGUCGCAAGACUGAAACUUAAAGGAAUUGGCGGGGAGCACAGCAACGGGUGGAGCGUGCGGUUU
RNAcentral lists this ribosomal RNA (428 nucleotides) under uncultured archaeon. Its description in RNAcentral is "bacterial SSU rRNA". It matches the Rfam family "Archaeal small subunit ribosomal RNA", at positions 474 to 903 of the family's 1478-position model. The record is from RNAcentral.